UACGUACGAGGCGAGCGUUAUCCGGAAUUACUGGGCGUAAAGCGCGCGCAGGUGGCUCGCUAAGUCGGACGUGAAAUCUCCCGGCCUAACUGGGAGGGGUCGUCCGAGACUGGCCGGCUUGAGGCUGGCAGAGGUAGGUGGAAUUCCUGGUGUAGUGGUGAAAUGCGUAGAGAUCAGGAGGAACACCGGUGGCGAAGGCGGCCUACUGGGCCAGCACUGACGCUGAGGCGCGAAAGCUCGGGGAGCGAACGGG
Molecule: ribosomal RNA, 253 nt
Filed under: uncultured bacterium
Lineage: Bacteria
Description: partial 16S ribosomal RNA
Rfam family: Bacterial small subunit ribosomal RNA
Source: RNAcentral